This 545-nucleotide ribosomal RNA is filed under the name uncultured bacterium. RNAcentral describes it as "bacterial SSU rRNA". It matches the Rfam family "Bacterial small subunit ribosomal RNA", at positions 777 to 1320 of the family's 1533-position model. The record is from RNAcentral.
AAUAGAUACCCGGGUAGUCCACCCCGUAAACGUUGGGAACUAGUUGUGGGUCCUUUCCACGGAUUCCGUGACGCAGCUAACGCAUUAAGUUCCCCGCCUGGGGAGUACGGCCGCAAGGCUAAAACUCAAAGGAAUUGACGGGGACCCGCACAAGCGGCGGAGCAUGCGGAUUAAUUCGAUGCAACGCGAAGAACCUUACCAAGGCUUGACAUACACCAGAACACCCUAGAAAUAGGGGACUCUUUGGACACUGGUGAACAGGUGGUGCAUGGUUGUCGUCAGCUCGUGCCGUGAGAUGUUGGGUUAAGUCCCGCAACGAGCGCAACCCUCGUUCUAUGUUGCCAGCACGUAAUGGUGGGAACUCAUGGGAUACUGCCGGGGUCAACUCGGAGGAAGGUGGGGAUGACGUCGAAAUCAUCAUGCCCCUUAUGUCUUGGGCUUCACGCAUGCUACAAUGGCCGGUACAAAGGGCUGCAAUACCGUGAGGUGGAGCGAAUCCCAAAAAGCCGGUCCCAGUUCGGAUUGAGGUCUGCAACUCGACCUCA